UUGGAGGGCAAGUCUGGUGCCAGCAGCCGCGGUAAUUCCAGCUCCAAUAGCGUAUAUUAAAGUUGUUGCAGUUAAAAAGCUCGUAGUUGAAUUUCGGGAUCAGAGUGUCGGUCGUGCCUCGGUACGCACUGGUAUUAUUGGUUCCUACCUUCUGAAGAACCGCGAUGUCAUUAAUUUGGUGUCGUGGGGAAUCAGGACUGUUACUUUGAAAAAAUUAGAGUGUUUAAAGCAGGCUUACGCUUGAAUACAUUAGCAUGGAAUAAUGAAAUAGGACGUUUGAUUCUAUUUUGUUGGUUUCUAGGAUUGACGUAAUGAUUAAUAGGGAUAGUUGGGGGCAUUAGUAUUCAAUUGUCAGAGGUGAAAUUCUUGGAUUUAUUGAAGACUAACUACUGCGAAAGCAUUUGCCAAGGAUGUUUUCAUUAAUCAAGAACGAAAGUUAGGGGAUCGAAGACGAUCAGAUACCGUCGUAGUCUUAACCAUAAACUAUGCCGACUAGGGAUCGGAUGAUGUUAAUUUUUUAACGACUCAUUCGGCGCCUUACGGGAAAC
This 548-nucleotide ribosomal RNA is filed under the name uncultured Glomeromycotina. RNAcentral's name for it is "SSU rRNA". It matches the Rfam family "Eukaryotic small subunit ribosomal RNA", at positions 548 to 1098 of the family's 1831-position model. The record is from RNAcentral. Lineage: Eukaryota; Fungi; Glomeromycota.